This 241-nucleotide long non-coding RNA is filed under the name Hordeum vulgare. RNAcentral's name for it is "long non-coding RNA (HVUL_LNC017826)". Lineage: Eukaryota; Viridiplantae; Streptophyta; Magnoliopsida; Poales; Poaceae. The record is from RNAcentral.
CCACUCGGUAAUACAACAUCACAAUAAGCCUUGCAAGCAAUGUGACUAAGGAGUUAGUCACAUGAUCUUGUAUUACGAAAUGAGUAAAGAGACUUGUCGGUAACGUAAUUGAAUUAGGUAUGGAGAUACCGACGAUCGAAUCUCGGGCAAGUAACAUAUGAUGGACAAAGGGAACAACAUACAGGAUUAACUAAAUCCUUGACAUAGAGGUUCAACCGAUAAAGGUCUUUGUAGAAUAUGU